This 1346-nucleotide ribosomal RNA is filed under the name uncultured bacterium. RNAcentral describes it as "partial 16S ribosomal RNA". It matches the Rfam family "Bacterial small subunit ribosomal RNA", at positions 28 to 1381 of the family's 1533-position model. The record is from RNAcentral.
GACGAACGCUUGCGGCGUGCUUAACACAUGCAAGUCGAACGGAAAGGCCCUGCUUUUGUGGGGUGCUCGAGUGGCGAACGGGUGAGUAACACGUGAGUAACCUGCCCUUGACUUUGGGAUAACUUCAGGAAACAGGGGCUAAUACCGGAUAGGAGCUCCUGCUGCAUGGUGGGGGUUGGAAAGUUUCGGCGGUUGGGGAUGGACUCGCGGCUUAUCAGCUUGUUGGUGGGGUAGUGGCUUACCAAGGCUUUGACGGGUAGCCGGCCUGAGAGGGUGACCGGCCACAUUGGGACUGAGAUACGGCCCAGACUCCUACGGGAGGCAGCAGUGGGGAAUAUUGCACAAUGGGCGGAAGCCUGAUGCAGCAACGCCGCGUGCGGGAUGACGGCCUUCGGGUUGUAAACCGCUUUCGCCUGUGACGAAGCGUGAGUGACGGUAAUGGGUAAAGAAGCACCGGCUAACUACGUGCCAGCAGCCGCGGUGAUACGUAGGGUGCGAGCGUUGUCCGGAUUUAUUGGGCGUAAAGGGCUCGUAGGUGGUUGAUCGCGUCGGAAGUGUAAUCUUGGGGCUUAACCCUGAGCGUGCUUUCGAUACGGGUUGACUUGAGGAAGGUAGGGGAGAAUGGAAUUCCUGGUGGAGCGGUGGAAUGCGCAGAUAUCAGGAGGAACACCAGUGGCGAAGGCGGUUCUCUGGGCCUUUCCUGACGCUGAGGAGCGAAAGCGUGGGGAGCGAACAGGCCUAGAUACCCUGGUAGUCCACGCUGUAAACGGUGGGUACUAGGUGUGGGGUCCAUUCCACGGGUUCCGUGCCGUAGCUAACGCUUUAAGUACCCCGCCUGGGGAGUACGGCCGCAAGGCUAAAACUCAAAGGAAUUGACGGGGCCCCGCACAAGCGGCGGAGCAUGCGGAUUAAUUCGAUGCAACGCGUAGAACCUUACCUGGGUUUGACAUGGAUCGGGAGUGCUCAGAGAUGGGUGUGCCUCUUUUGGGGUCGGUUCACAGGUGGUGCAUGGCUGUCGUCAGCUCGUGUCGUGAGAUGUUGGGUUAAGUCCCGCAACGAGCGCAACCCUUGUUCACUGUUGCCAGCACGUUAUGGUGGGGACUCAGUGGAGACCGCCGGGGUCAACUCGGAGGAAGGUGGGGAUGACGUCAAGUCAUCAUGCCCCUUAUGUCCAGGGCUUCACGCAUGCUACAAUGGCUUGUACAGAGAGUGGCGAGCCUGUGAGGGUGAGCGAAUCUCGGAAAGCCGGUCUCAGUUCGGAUUGGGGUCUGCAACUCGACCUCAUGAAGUCGGAGUCGCUAGUAAUCGCAGAUCAGCAACGCUGCGGUGAAUACGUUCCCGGGGCU